UUUUGAAUAGAAGGGCGGGCCAAAAAACCGGCCAGUUCAGCGGCCUAAGCAGAAGCAGAAUUCGUAAGUCAAGAGUCGAAAGAAAGAUAUUUUUGUCUUUCACUAGUGACAUCUCGAAACGUACGAAACGAACCGGAGUGCUGACAGCUGCCUGUGAGAUUUGUAUGGACAGCCCUGUUAAUUUUACAUGGUUUAUGUUAGUUUAUGUGAAUGUUCACGAAACAAUGCAACACCAGCCUGAAUGAAUUAUGGUUUCAUGAAUGAACAUGGACUGCUUUGUUAGAGGGCCAUAUAAGUUUGAAAAAAAAACAGACUGCUAUGGGAGAUCUCUUUGACUGAAGGUUGAACGCCCGCUCGCCAGCAACAGAAACGCAGCCCUACCCUCACAGAUUGGGAGUAGUGAAAGGGUCACUAGCAGUGGUUUGAGUGGCAGCAGCCCAAAGCCGACAUCAGCAGACUGCAGAGACGAGAUUUCUGGCAGACCAGCCAAACACAACCCUUUAAGCGCAGCGAAGCGAAGAAAACUGGACCAGCAGCACUAAAACUGACCAACUUUGAGGAAUUAAUAGCAUUAUGUCAAAUUCUUUCGCAAGAAAAAUACUUGACCUAAUGUGUGACCCAUUAAAUGAGAAGUCCGCAAGUCUCACCGAGAAGCCAGUACAGUAUUAGUAGUAGAAGAACUUCAUGUUAAAUAUCCAAUGUAAAGCUCUUUUUAAAAUAUCUGCCUCAAAUUAUUAUGUCUUCAUUAAAUAUCUGCUUCUAAUGUAACAAGUAAGGCAGUCAACCAAAUUUUAACUUGAUGUUGUGAUAAUUAACAAAUAUCCACAGUGAAUGCGACUGAUGUGCAUUGGUGAUGUAGAUUUCAAUCUCCGAAGGAUAAGGCAGUCGAGAGCUGGUUGCAUUGAACAACUGAGAUUAGAACGAAUAUUGAAAUAAUGGAAGACGAUCCAUUCUCAUCUCAUAGAGACUUAUGACACCAGCAUAAAUAAAUGAAUGAAUGAAUUGAAUAAAGCAAUACAUUUUUCCAAAC
This is a long non-coding RNA of Thrips palmi, 1030 nucleotides long. RefSeq lists it as uncharacterized. NCBI's taxonomy places the organism in Eukaryota, Metazoa, Arthropoda, Insecta, Thysanoptera, Thripidae. The transcript is spliced from 3 exons. The record is from RefSeq and is a predicted model, not a curated record.